CGAAACACACAUAGAGGGAGCCACAAUAAUUCUUGAUUCUCAACAGACGAUGACAGCCACUGCAAUGACUGCCCCAAAAUCUCCAGCCAAAAAGAAGGCCAAACUGUGCAAAGUCACUGGUGCCAGGAAAGCACAUGCGAAGGGUCUGCUGACAGACGCCAUGUGCCGACAGAAGACUCAGCAGGAUGUAUUUAACAUGCAG
Long non-coding RNA from Lineus longissimus, 202 nucleotides. RefSeq lists it as uncharacterized. NCBI's taxonomy places the organism in Eukaryota, Metazoa, Nemertea, Pilidiophora, Heteronemertea, Lineidae. The transcript is spliced from 3 exons. The record is from RefSeq and is a predicted model, not a curated record.